ACGGGUAGCCCGACCUGAGAGGGUGAUCGGCCACACUGGGACUGAGACACGGCCCAGACUCCUACGGGAGGCAGCAGUGGGGAAUAUUGCACAAUGGGCGCAAGCCUGAUGCAGCGACGCCGCGUGAGGGAUGACGGCCUUCGGGUUGUAAACCUCUUUCACCAGGGACGAAGCGUGAGUGACGGUACCUGGAGAAGAAGCACCGGCCAACUACGUGCCAGCAGCCGCGGUAAUACGUAGGGUGCGAGCGUUGUCCGGAAUUACUGGGCGUAAAGAGCUCGUAGGCGGUUUGUCGCGUCGUCUGUGAAAUUCUGCAACUCAAUUGCAGGCGUGCAGGCGAUACGGGCAGACUUGAGUACUACAGGGGAGACUGGAAUUCCUGGUGUAGCGGUGAAAUGCGCAGAUAUCAGGAGGAACACCGGUGGCGAAGGCGGGUCUCUGGGUAGUAACUGACGCUGAGGAGCGAAAGCGUGGGUAGCGA
RNAcentral lists this ribosomal RNA (481 nucleotides) under Gordonia sp. (in: high G+C Gram-positive bacteria). Its description in RNAcentral is "bacterial SSU rRNA". It matches the Rfam family "Bacterial small subunit ribosomal RNA", at positions 279 to 771 of the family's 1533-position model. The record is from RNAcentral. Lineage: Bacteria; Bacillati; Actinomycetota; Actinomycetes; Mycobacteriales; Gordoniaceae.